RNAcentral lists this ribosomal RNA (253 nucleotides) under uncultured bacterium. RNAcentral describes it as "partial 16S ribosomal RNA". It matches the Rfam family "Bacterial small subunit ribosomal RNA", at positions 524 to 776 of the family's 1533-position model. The record is from RNAcentral.
UACGUAGGGUGCAAGCGUUGUUCGGAAUUACUGGGCGUAAAGGGUGCGUAGGCGGUUCGCUAAGUUGGAUGUGAAAACUCUGGGCUUAACCCAGAGCCUGCAUCCAAUACUGACGAGCUAGAGUUCUGGAGGGGGUAGCGGAAUUCCUGGUGUAGCGGUGAAAUGCGUAGAUAUCAGGAGGAACACCGGUGGCGAAGGCGGCUACCUGGACAGAGUCUGACGCUGAGGCACGAAAGCUAGGGGAGCAAACAGG